UGUUGCAUGGCUGUCGUCAGCUCGUGUCGUGAGAUGUUGGGUUAAGUCCCGCAACGAGCGCAACCCUCAUCCUUAGUUGCUAUCAGGUAAUGCUGAGUACUUUAAGGAAACUGCCAGUGAUAAGCUGGAGGAAGGUGGGGAUGAUGUCAAGUCAUCAUGGCCUUUAUGGAGUGGGCUACACACGUGCUACAAUGGUGUCUACAAUGGGUUGCAAGGUGCGCAAGCCUAAGCUAAUCCCUAAAAGACAUCUCAGUUCGGAUUGUACUCUGCAACUCGAGUACAUGAAGUUGGAAUCGCUAGUAAUCGUGGAUCAGCAUGCCACGGUGAAUACGUUCUCGGGUC
This 342-nucleotide ribosomal RNA is filed under the name Wolbachia sp. RNAcentral's name for it is "bacterial SSU rRNA". It matches the Rfam family "Bacterial small subunit ribosomal RNA", at positions 1039 to 1380 of the family's 1533-position model. The record is from RNAcentral. Lineage: Bacteria; Pseudomonadati; Pseudomonadota; Alphaproteobacteria; Rickettsiales; Anaplasmataceae.